AACGAACGCUGGCGGCAUGCCUAACACAUGCAAGUCGAACGAGACCUUCGGGUCUAGUGGCGCACGGGUGCGUAACGCGUGGGAACCUGCCCUUAGGUUCGGAAUAACUCCCCGAAAGGGGUGCUAAUACCGGAUAAUGUCUUCGGACCAAAGAUUUAUCGCCUUUGGAUGGGCCCGCGUUGGAUUAGCUAGUUGGUAGGGUAAAAGCCUACCAAGGCGACGAUCCAUAGCUGGUCUGAGAGGAUGAUCAGCCACACUGGGACUGAGACACGGCCCAGAAUCCUACGGGAGGCAGCAGUGGGGAAUAGUGGAAAAUGGGCGAAAGCCUGAUCCAGCAAUGCCGCGUGAGUGAUGAAGGCCUGAGGGUUGUAAAGCUCUUUUAACCGGGAUGAUAAUGACAGUACCGGGAGAAUAAGCCCCGGCUAACUCCGUG
RNAcentral lists this ribosomal RNA (433 nucleotides) under uncultured bacterium. RNAcentral describes it as "partial 16S ribosomal RNA". It matches the Rfam family "Bacterial small subunit ribosomal RNA", at positions 29 to 507 of the family's 1533-position model. The record is from RNAcentral.